RNAcentral lists this ribosomal RNA (253 nucleotides) under uncultured bacterium. Its description in RNAcentral is "partial 16S ribosomal RNA". It matches the Rfam family "Bacterial small subunit ribosomal RNA", at positions 524 to 776 of the family's 1533-position model. The record is from RNAcentral.
UACGUAGGGGGCAAGCGUUGUCCGGAUUUAUUGGGCGUAAAGAGCGUGUAGGCGGCCUGAAAGGUCAGCUGUGAAAACUCGAGGCUCAACCUCGAGACGUCGGUCGAAACCAUCUGGCUAGAGUCCGGAAGAGGAGAGUGGAAUUCCCGGUGUAGCGGUGAAAUGCGCAGAUAUCGAGAGGAACACCCGUGGCGAAGGCGGCUCUCUGGGACGGUACUGACGCUGAGACGCGAAAGCGUGGGGAGCGAACAGG